This 1647-nucleotide ribosomal RNA is filed under the name Escherichia coli. RNAcentral describes it as "partial 23S ribosomal RNA". It matches the Rfam family "Bacterial large subunit ribosomal RNA", at positions 1291 to 2915 of the family's 2925-position model. The record is from RNAcentral. Lineage: Bacteria; Pseudomonadati; Pseudomonadota; Gammaproteobacteria; Enterobacterales; Enterobacteriaceae.
CGAAUGCUGACAUAAGUAACGAUAAAGCGGGUGAAAAGCCCGCUCGCCGGAAGACCAAGGGUUCCUGUCCAACGUUAAUCGGGGCAGGGUGAGUCGACCCCUAAGGCGAGGCCGAAAGGCGUAGUCGAUGGGAAACAGGUUAAUAUUCCUGUACUUGGUGUUACUGCGAAGGGGGGACGGAGAAGGCUAUGUUGGCCGGGCGACGGUUGUCCCGGUUUAAGCGUGUAGGCUGGUUUUCCAGGCAAAUCCGGAAAAUCAAGGCUGAGGCGUGAUGACGAGGCACUACGGUGCUGAAGCAACAAAUGCCCUGCUUCCAGGAAAAGCCUCUAAGCAUCAGGUAACAUCAAAUCGUACCCCAAACCGACACAGGUGGUCAGGUAGAGAAUACCAAGGCGCUUGAGAGAACUCGGGUGAAGGAACUAGGCAAAAUGGUGCCGUAACUUCGGGAGAAGGCACGCUGAUAUGUAGGUGAAGUCCCUCGCGGAUGGAGCUGAAAUCAGUCGAAGAUACCAGCUGGCUGCAACUGUUUAUUAAAAACACAGCACUGUGCAAACACGAAAGUGGACGUAUACGGUGUGACGCCUGCCCGGUGCCGGAAGGUUAAUUGAUGGGGUUAGCCGCAAGGCGAAGCUCUUGAUCGAAGCCCCGGUAAACGGCGGCCGUAACUAUAACGGUCCUAAGGUAGCGAAAUUCCUUGUCGGGUAAGUUCCGACCUGCACGAAUGGCGUAAUGAUGGCCAGGCUGUCUCCACCCGAGACUCAGUGAAAUUGAACUCGCUGUGAAGAUGCAGUGUACCCGCGGCAAGACGGAAAGACCCCGUGAACCUUUACUAUAGCUUGACACUGAACAUUGAGCCUUGAUGUGUAGGAUAGGUGGGAGGCUUUGAAGUGUGGACGCCAGUCUGCAUGGAGCCGACCUUGAAAUACCACCCUUUAAUGUUUGAUGUUCUAACGUUGACCCGUAAUCCGGGUUGCGGACAGUGUCUGGUGGGUAGUUUGACUGGGGCGGUCUCCUCCUAAAGAGUAACGGAGGAGCACGAAGGUUGGCUAAUCCUGGUCGGACAUCAGGAGGUUAGUGCAAUGGCAUAAGCCAGCUUGACUGCGAGCGUGACGGCGCGAGCAGGUGCGAAAGCAGGUCAUAGUGAUCCGGUGGUUCUGAAUGGAAGGGCCAUCGCUCAACGGAUAAAAGGUACUCCGGGGAUAACAGGCUGAUACCGCCCAAGAGUUCAUAUCGACGGCGGUGUUUGGCACCUCGAUGUCGGCUCAUCACAUCCUGGGGCUGAAGUAGGUCCCAAGGGUAUGGCUGUUCGCCAUUUAAAGUGGUACGCGAGCUGGGUUUAGAACGUCGUGAGACAGUUCGGUCCCUAUCUGCCGUGGGCGCUGGAGAACUGAGGGGGGCUGCUCCUAGUACGAGAGGACCGGAGUGGACGCAUCACUGGUGUUCGGGUUGUCAUGCCAAUGGCACUGCCCGGUAGCUAAAUGCGGAAGAGAUAAGUGCUGAAAGCAUCUAAGCACGAAACUUGCCCCGAGAUGAGUUCUCCCUGACUCCUUGAGAGUCCUGAAGGAACGUUGAAGACGACGACGUUGAUAGGCCGGGUGUGUAAGCGCAGCGAUGCGUUGAGCUAACCGGUACUAAUGAACCGUGAGG